UACAGAGGUCCCAAGCGUUGUUCGGAUUCAUUGGGCGUAAAGGGUGCGUAGGCGGCGCGGUAAGUCGGGUGUGAAAUCUCAGGGCUCAACCCUGAAACUGCACUCGAUACUGCUCUGCUUGAGGACUGGAGAGGAGACUGGAAUUCACGGUGUAGCAGUGAAAUGCGUAGAUAUCGUGAGGAAGACCAGUGGCGAAGGCGGGUCUCUGGACAGUUCCUGACGCUGAGGCGCGAAGGCCAGGGGAGCAAACGGG
RNAcentral lists this ribosomal RNA (253 nucleotides) under uncultured bacterium. RNAcentral describes it as "partial 16S ribosomal RNA". It matches the Rfam family "Bacterial small subunit ribosomal RNA", at positions 524 to 776 of the family's 1533-position model. The record is from RNAcentral.